AUUGAACGCUGGCGGCAUGCUUUAUACAUGCAAGUCGAACGGUAACAGGGUGCUUGCACCGCUGACGAGUGGCGAACGGGUGAGUAAUGCGUCGGAACGUGCCGAGUAGUGGGGGAUAACGCAGCGAAAGUUGUGCUAAUACCGCAUACGUACUGAGGUAGAAAGGGGGGGACCUUCGGGCCUCACGCUAUUCGAGCGGCCGAAGUCUGAUUAGCUAGUAGGUGAGGUAAAGGCUCACCUAGGCGACGAUCAGUAGCGGGUCUGAGAGGAUGAUCCGCCACACUGGGACUGAGACACGGCCCAGACUCCUACGGGAGGCAGCAGUGGGGAAUUUUGGACAAUGGGCGAAAGCCUGAUCCAGCCAUGCCGCGUGUCUGAAGAAGGCCUUCGGGUUGUAAAGGACUUUUGUCAGGGAGGAAAUCCCUAGUGCUAAUAACACUGGGGGAUGACAGUACCUGAAGAAUAAGCACCGGCUAACUACGUGCCAGCAGCCGCAGUAA
This 500-nucleotide ribosomal RNA is filed under the name uncultured bacterium. RNAcentral describes it as "partial 16S ribosomal RNA". It matches the Rfam family "Bacterial small subunit ribosomal RNA", at positions 30 to 523 of the family's 1533-position model. The record is from RNAcentral.